RNAcentral lists this ribosomal RNA (419 nucleotides) under uncultured bacterium. Its description in RNAcentral is "bacterial SSU rRNA". It matches the Rfam family "Bacterial small subunit ribosomal RNA", at positions 72 to 507 of the family's 1533-position model. The record is from RNAcentral.
GGCCCAGCUUGCUGGGUACUCGAGUGGCGAACGGGUGAGUAACACGUGGGUGAUCUGCCCCAAAUUCGGGAUAAGCCUGGGAAACUGGGUCUAAUACCGGAUAUGACCUGCUCCUGCAUGGGGGUUGGUGGAAAGCUUUUGCGGUUUGGGAUGGGCCCGCGGCCUAUCAGCUUGUUGGUGGGGUAAUGGCCUACCAAGGCGACGACGGGUAGCCGACCUGAGAGGGUGUUCGGCCACACUGGGACUGAGACACGGCCCAGACUCCUACGGGAGGCAGCAGUGGGAAUAUUGCACAAUGGGCGCAAGCCUGAUGCAGCGACGCCGCGUGAGGGAUGACGGCCUUCGGGUUGUAAACCUCUUUCGCCAGGGACGAAGCGCAAGUGACGGUACCUGGAGAAGAAGCACCGGCCAACUACGUG